CUGUGGUUAAGUUAAUAAGGGCACACGGUGGAUGCCUUGGCGUUAGGAGCCGAAGAAGGACGCAGCGAACUGCGAUAAGCCUCGGGGAGUGGUAAGCACACUUUGAUCCGGGGAUUUCCGAAUGGGGGAACCCACCAUCUGUAAUGGG
RNAcentral lists this ribosomal RNA (148 nucleotides) under Brevibacillus laterosporus. Its description in RNAcentral is "partial 23S ribosomal RNA". It matches the Rfam family "Bacterial large subunit ribosomal RNA", at positions 1 to 144 of the family's 2925-position model. The record is from RNAcentral. Lineage: Bacteria; Bacillati; Bacillota; Bacilli; Caryophanales; Paenibacillaceae.